RNAcentral lists this ribosomal RNA (560 nucleotides) under uncultured Staphylococcus sp. RNAcentral's name for it is "bacterial SSU rRNA". It matches the Rfam family "Bacterial small subunit ribosomal RNA", at positions 28 to 570 of the family's 1533-position model. Lineage: Bacteria; Bacillati; Bacillota; Bacilli; Caryophanales; Staphylococcaceae. The record is from RNAcentral.
GAUGAACGCUGGCGGCGUGCCUAAUACAUGCAAGUCGAGCGAACAGACGAGGAGCUUGCUCCUCUGACGUUAGCGGCGGACGGGUGAGUAACACGUGGAUAACCUACCUAUAAGACUGGGAUAACUUCGGGAAACCGGAGCUAAUACCGGAUAAUAUAUUGAACCGCAUGGUUCAAUAGUGAAAGACGGUUUUGCUGUCACUUAUAGAUGGAUCCGCGCCGCAUUAGCUAGUUGGUAAGGUAACGGCUUACCAAGGCAACGAUGCGUAGCCGACCUGAGAGGGUGAUCGGCCACACUGGAACUGAGACACGGUCCAGACUCCUACGGGAGGCAGCAGUAGGGAAUCUUCCGCAAUGGGCGAAAGCUUGACGGAGCAACGCCGCGUGAGUGAUGAAGGUCUUCGGAUCGUAAAACUCUGUUAUUAGGGAAGAACAAAUGUGUAAGUAACUAUGCACGUCUUGACGGUACCUAAUCAGAAAGCCACGGCUAACUACGUGCCAGCAGCCGCGGUAAUACGUAGGUGGCAAGCGUUAUCCGGAAUUAUUGGGCGUAAAGCGCGC